Molecule: ribosomal RNA, 621 nt
Filed under: uncultured bacterium
Lineage: Bacteria
Description: bacterial SSU rRNA
Rfam family: Bacterial small subunit ribosomal RNA (bases 1-542)
Source: RNAcentral
CCUACGGGAGGCAGCAGUGGGGAAUUUUGGACAAUGGGCGCAAGCCUGAUCCAGCCAUGCCGCGUGCGGGAAGAAGGCCUUCGGGUUGUAAACCGCUUUUGUCAGGGAAGAAAAGGUUCUGGUUAAUACCUGGGACUCAUGACGGUACCUGAAGAAUAAGCACCGGCUAACUACGUGCCAGCAGCCGCGGUAAUACGUAGGGUGCAAGCGUUAAUCGGAAUUACUGGGCGUAAAGCGUGCGCAGGCGGUUAUGCAAGACAGAGGUGAAAUCCCCGGGCUCAACCUGGGAACUGCCUUUGUGACUGCAUAGCUAGAGUGCGGCAGAGGGGGAUGGAAUUCCGCGUGUAGCAGUGAAAUGCGUAGAUAUGCGGAGGAACACCGAUGGCGAAGGCAAUCCCCUGGGCCUGCACUGACGCUCAUGCACGAAAGCGUGGGGAGCAAACAGGAUUAGAUACCCUGGUAGUCCACGCCCUAAACGAUGUCAACUGGUUGUUGGGAGGGUUUCUUCUCAGUAACGUAGCUAACGCGUGAAGUUGACCGCCUGGGGAGGUACGGCCGCGAGUAGAACGUACGAAGAAGUAGACGGCGUGAGAGUGCCGAGGACGACGACGAGGGAGGAGG